This 71-nucleotide transfer RNA is filed under the name Marmota monax (woodchuck). Its description in RNAcentral is "tRNA.Ala". The record is from RNAcentral. Lineage: Eukaryota; Metazoa; Chordata; Mammalia; Rodentia; Sciuridae.
GGGAUUAUGGCUCAGUGGUAUAGAGCUUAUCUAGCAUGUGUAAGGCACUGGGUUUGAUACCCAUAAUCACA